GGGGAUGAAUGUUCUCCACUCGUCUCUCAUAUUUUCUUUUCUCCCUUGCAUGUCCAAGUCCCCCUUUUCAGCUUUUCUAUCCAAGGGUAAUCCUGGUUUCCCAUUAUAGCAACUUCCUCCUCGUCUUUGCUUCACCAGUUCAACAAGACCUGCCGGUCUAACAAUGGCUUCAGUAUCAGCUUCUUGUCUCAGGUUCCAUCCUCUGCUUCUCCAGUCCAACCAGGUGCAGCUUCAGUAUUCCUUCGUAUUUUUUAAUUACAUUUAUUAAUUAGCUUUCAAUUUUAAUCCUAAAAACCAAACAAUUAAGUCCAUUUAUGAAGUUGGGACUCAGAUGUCUCUUAAAUCCAAGGAUAAAUUUUAGAACUGAAUGAAUUUGAGGAAACUACACAUAUGAUAUGACAUUUGAGUAUUUGCGUUUUGCAGCCAGCGCAGGGUAGUUUUAAGUUUGUUUCAGUGAGUUGGCCAAAGAGCUGGUUCCCUUCUUUAAAGGCCACCCGCUUCCACGUCUCCUGUGCGGUAAUUCCAUCCUCUCGUCUAUUCUUCUCUUCCUUGGCUAUUUGAAAUUGUUCAAUGUACAUUACAAUAUAUAUAAUUGGCAGGCAAAGCCAGAGACAGUGCAGAAAGUUUGUGACAUUGUACGGAAACAACUGGUUUUGUCUCCCGAGACCCUGCUCACUCCUGAAACCAAGUUCUCAGAACUUGGUGCUGAUUCCCUUGACACAGUGGAGAUAGUGAUGGGGUUAGAGGAAGAAUUUAACAUUAGCGUCGAGGAGGAUAGUUCUCAAAAUAUAACAACUGUCAAGGAAGCAGCAGACUUGAUAGAAAAACUGGUUCAAAAGAAAGCAGAAGCUGGAGCUUAAUUAAGCCAAGUCAAGCUCCAUGGUUGCAGAGUGGACUGUGUUAGGAUCAUUAACUUCGUGGAUUUGUUUUGCCUUGAUUAUUUCCAACUUGCUCCCGGUAUUCUUUGUUUAGAAGGCUAGCCAGGUUGAUUUAAUUUAAAGUUUUGUUUAUUGGUUGCGGAAGUAAUGAGUUAUUAUAUGUGGCUAUGACGCAUAUGGUUGAAUCAGAGGUUGCCUAAACUGAAGCCACAAGUAUCAAUUCAUGUGGUUCUUUCCUUUAUCUAUAAGCUGCUGGUUGCAUCUUUCAUGCGCUUGCUCAUCGUCCUCCAAAUUCAUGAUUAUUACCUAUCAAUUUACAGAGUGAAUGUGCAAGUGAUCCAUUGGAAGGGGAAAUAUUUGGAGCAGAGUGUGAUUAUCCAUCACAUUAGCCGCCCUUGAUUCCAUUUUAUAUAAUCUACUCACGAGUCAUAACCUUGCAGUUCCUAUGGCCGGCAAGCUUUAAUAAGCCAUUAAUAUGCCAAAAUUUAUGCUGUUUCUAAGCUCUCCAAACAUGAUGACGCGUCAGGUUUACAAUUGAAUGUCGUCGACGGUUUUAAAAAAUAAAAACGCUAUUUUAAUAAUAAUACUAAUGACAAUUAAGUGAAAUUAAAUUAAAUGCCAAUGACAAUUAAUUACAGAGCUGUAAUUUGUUAAAGUGGUCCCACUUGUCGGGUAGAACAGGGGAUGUGUGCAAACGGUUGACCAUUCACAGCGUCGGAAAAACAACAAUCUGCCCUGGAACCGUCGACACGUCACCGAUGUAACGGGCGGCCAUGAAAGAAUCGGGCACGUCACCACAUUUUCGCUUUUAGAUCUACCAACGGCUGACCCUCAAUAAGUUAUCCAAUGCUACCCGUAUUUACAGUAUUUAUAGAAUACUCGUGAGUGUAGAA
This 1771-nucleotide unclassified non-coding RNA is filed under the name Hevea brasiliensis (rubber tree). Lineage: Eukaryota; Viridiplantae; Streptophyta; Magnoliopsida; Malpighiales; Euphorbiaceae. The record is from RNAcentral.